GACGAACGCUGGCGGCGUGCCUAAUACAUGCAAGUCGAGCGAAGUUUUUCUGGUUCUUGCACUAGAAAGACUUAGCGGCGAACGGGUGAGUAACACGUAAAGAACCUGCCUCAUAGACUGGGACAACUAUUGGAAACGAUAGCUAAUACCGGAUAACAGUAUUUCUCGCAUGAGAGAUAUUUAAAAUUUGGUUAUGCUAACACUAUGAGAUUGCUUUGCGGUGCAUUAGCUAGUUGUUGGGGUAAAGGCCCACCAAGGCGACGAUGCAUAGCCGACCUGAGAGAGGGAUCGGCCACACUGGGACUGAGACACGGCCCAGACUCCUACGGGAGGCAGCAGUAGGGAAUCUUCCGAAAUGGGAGAAAGCCUGACGGAGCAACGCCGCGUGAGUGAAGAAGGAUUUCGGUUCGUAAAGCUCUGUUGUUAGGGAAGAAUGGAUAUGUAGUAACGAUAAAUGUAAGAGACGGUACCUAACCAGAAAGCAACGGCUAACUACGUG
RNAcentral lists this ribosomal RNA (499 nucleotides) under uncultured bacterium. RNAcentral describes it as "partial 16S ribosomal RNA". It matches the Rfam family "Bacterial small subunit ribosomal RNA", at positions 28 to 507 of the family's 1533-position model. The record is from RNAcentral.